The sequence is an unclassified non-coding RNA, 242 nucleotides long. The stretch from base 1 to 46 matches the Rfam family "Eukaryotic small subunit ribosomal RNA", at positions 1786 to 1831 of the family's 1831-position model.
AAGUCGUAACAAGGUUUCCGUAGGUGAACCUGCGGAAGGAUCAUUAUCGAGGAUUUGGUUUUAAAACCGCCCUCCUACCCUAUGUUUACAAGCCUGUUGCUUCGGCGAGUCGUCUUUAAUUAGCCAUCGGCCUUUUGGGCGGAUGUGCACUCGCCGAAGAACUAUUUAAAACACUUUUUGAAAGUUGUCUGAAACCUAAAAUUGAAAAAUAAAAACUUUCAACAACGGAUCUCUUGGUUCUG